This 309-nucleotide ribosomal RNA is filed under the name uncultured bacterium. RNAcentral describes it as "partial 16S ribosomal RNA". It matches the Rfam family "Bacterial small subunit ribosomal RNA", at positions 504 to 809 of the family's 1533-position model. The record is from RNAcentral.
AGAGACAGCAGUAGCCGCGGGAAUACGUAGGUGGCGAGCGUUGUCCGGAAUUAUUGGGCGUAAAGGGAGCGCAGGCGGACAUAUAAGUCCAUCUUAAAAGUGCGGGGCUCAACCCCGUGAGGGGAUGGAAACUGUAUGCCUUGAGUGCAGGAGAGGAAAGCGGAAUUCCCAGUGUAGCGGUGAAAUGCGUAGAUAUUGGGAGGAACACCAGUGGCGAAGGCGGCUUUCUGGACUGUAACUGACGCUGAGGCUCGAAAGCCAGGGGAGCGAACGGGAUUAGAUACCCCUGUAGUCCCUGUCUCUUAUACA